GCGCGCCAAACUGUUGCGAUUUUUUCUUCGGUGUGUAAUCAGUAGAUAGUAGUCGGGUGGGAGAUGACUAAGAGUUACGCCUAUCAGUUGGUGGACUGAUGAGAUGCUGGGAGAUGGUGUGCCAUCGAAGAAGAUGCAUACAGCCAAGGCCGAGACAAAGGGCAAGGAUAGAGCUUAGAUUGAGAUAGUGUUGGGCUCUGCUCGAUGCCAAA
RNAcentral lists this long non-coding RNA (212 nucleotides) under Elaeis guineensis (African oil palm). RNAcentral's name for it is "long non-coding RNA (EGUI_LNC051772)". Lineage: Eukaryota; Viridiplantae; Streptophyta; Magnoliopsida; Arecales; Arecaceae. The record is from RNAcentral.